AUGGCACAGUGCAAUGCUAAGCUGAUUGCCAUUGUCUUCUCGUCAAGCACAGGGCAAUGGCGAGCCAUUUCGUCCCUGAGCUGGAGUGAUUUAUUACCUGGCUUGCUAUCGUCCACAGGGUUGGCUCUGUUCUCCUUGCGGCAAUACGCCUAUGGGCUCUUCUAUUGGGUGACAGAUUGGAGGGAAAAGUUUCUGGUGCUUGACUCCCGGAGGAUGAAGUUCUCCAUUGCUGAACCCCCACCUGAGAUGAGAUAUUUACACGGUGUGGAUAUAGCCAUUUUGGAGGCAGGGGAAGGCAGGUCCAGGAUGUUUGUGCGUACCGAAGGCACAAAAUACCUCAACUAUACCACCGGGCGAAACAAUUGUGGGAGUUCCAUCCAGUGGCAGUUGGAGAGGACAAUCUCACUGGAUUCUGGGUAUGUGUUGAUCAGUUCAACAGGGAGGCACUUAUUCCUAUAUCAGCGCCAAAGCUCAUCGCUUGAUCGAGCCUUUUUCUCGCUGGAUGCCAGGACAUUCCAGCUUGAGAGGGUGUUUGCCUCAAAUUCAUGCAUCCCCAAUGCGCGCGCAUAUAGCAGCUUUCCACCAUCAUUGUUGUUGACACCAACAAUAUCAAGUGGCAUUGGAAACAGCGGGGCUGAGAAGGAGACACCGGAACAAGGCUGUGCUGCAAGCUCAAGCACAGAGUCACCAAAGUCAGAGUAG
This 702-nucleotide ribosomal RNA is filed under the name Triticum aestivum (bread wheat). Its description in RNAcentral is "partial small subunit ribosomal RNA". The record is from RNAcentral. Lineage: Eukaryota; Viridiplantae; Streptophyta; Magnoliopsida; Poales; Poaceae.